The sequence is a transfer RNA, 73 nucleotides long. It matches the Rfam family "tRNA". From Rfam's summary of the family: Transfer RNA (tRNA) molecules are approximately 80 nucleotides in length. The record is from Rfam.
GGGCAUUUGGGCAGAUAAUGCACGGAGCGGCCUUCUAAGCCGUAGGUCGGGCGUUCGAAUCGCUCCAGGCCCG